CUGCGAGCAUAGCAAUGCAAGAAAAAAUAUUGGUAUCUCUAAAGCAUACGUUCAACAAUCUCGGCCGAGCAUGCCAUAAGGCUCAUUUCUCGUUUCUUAUGCAUGCAUUAUAAUAGCCUGAAUGAACCGUAUUGCACUCCAUUCCUUUACCUAAGAAACUAAUUAUUGCGUCAUCUGUUUCUCGAUAUUGUUGUGUUUCAUUACUACUGUCAACAAUACGCUUUCGUCAGUGUCUAAUGAAUAGAUUUGUGAACCACUUGUAGAAGAAGUGCGUCGUAAAGUAGAUAAUAUUGUGCUGUUAAGAAACAUUUUAGAAUAUCACAGGUACUUAUUUUAUUUAAGAAUUAUUAAGAAAUCUGUGAUACUGCCCUCUAAUCUCUCCAUUUUAUCUCUGAUUAAAUUUAUCAUUGGUGUUGGACACUGAGGUCUCUUACAGUUGAACAAAGUUUGAGGAGAUGGAGUUAAACGAACAUUGCAGCUGUUAUCAUCUUGACGACAAGUGCACGUGCACCGAAACAUUGGUCUAUCUGAACGAGUUGAGAGAGGAGAACCUCUUUUGUGACGCGGUGUUGAGGUUGGAGGACGGCGGCGUCUUUCGAGUCCACAGAGUGAUUCUGUCGAAGCGUAGCAGAUAUUUCAGGACACUCUUCACGACAACACUGCACACCGAUGAGAAGACUGAUAUCCUCCUCCACGGAAUUAGCUCUGACGUGAUGACCCAGAUACUGGAUUAUGUUUAUCUGCGAAAGGUGGACAUCAACAGCGACAACGCUUGUCGGCUCCUCGUGACGGCUGAUUACUUAUGUAUUCCGGACGUUCCUAAACUCUGCUGCGACUUCAUCAAGGUCCAGAUAAACCCCGACAACUGUAUCGGAAUCAUGCAGUUCGCAAGGUAAUAGAUGUUCAUUUGUCAUUUGCUGUGACGCCAGCUUUGAUCAAGAGAGCAGCCGAUUGCCGGGUCGGAGAUUAAAACCUCUGACUUACGGGCAAAUUACAAUGCGUUGGCAGGUUGUUAUUAAUGUCUAUGCAAUUUAAAUGUUUCUGCACAAAGUAAAACCUCUGUUAACCGACCCUCGAUUAUCCGAUUCUCGCAUUAAGCGACCGAAUUUCAACCAGAUCGGUUGCGAUCGGUUUCCACCGGCGAGAGUGUUUAAAGCGAUGUCCACGUGGUACAGGGACUUCCUCGAACAGCACCCACGAGUAAUUUUUGCAGUCGGCUUGUGCGUGCGAAACGAAUGCAUCAUCCGAGGAAAAUCUGUAUUGGGUAUCUACUUAUUUGUUCAAAUCCAUGACCACGUUCCCCUCUACCUCGCUCAUUCGACUUAUCGGCUUAUCCGACCGAUGGUCCCCCCAUAUAAUCCGGUUAAACGAGGUUUCACUGGAUUAACACACACAGUUAACACAACGUCGUAUCGCGAAGGUUAAUGCCAGAAUUCAAAAUUUUACACUUCUGAAUUCACUGCCUUCUUCACUUGCGUACGCCAUGCCUUUUUUUAAACCUUAAACUUUAUCACGAAGACGAGCGGACAUUGCCUGGGAACCUUCAUAGCCGAAAAGUCUCUAUAUUGCCACGGUUAAACGAAGCGUCUCUCGCUCUUGCCUCUCCAUUUGUCUCUUCUCAGUCUCACUCAAUCUAGCUUCAAAGGGCUGAGAUAAAACUCCAGGCGAAAUACCGUAGUGUGCAAAUGUUUGAGAAUUCAGUUCUUGCUGCAGUGUUUCAAUGUGUCAAAGUCCGAAGGAGAUCGAUUCUGAGUCGGGUUUUACCCUCGCUGUCACA
Non-coding RNA from Zootermopsis nevadensis, 1777 nucleotides. The record is from RefSeq and is a predicted model, not a curated record. Lineage: Eukaryota; Metazoa; Arthropoda; Insecta; Blattodea; Termopsidae.